UCCGUAGGUGAACCUGCGGAAGGAUCAUUAUUGAAUUAUAGGCGAGGGUUGUAGCUGGCCUCUCGAGGUAUCGUGCACGCCCGAGCUCUUAAAUCCACAACACACCUGUGAACCCACCGUAGGCCUUCGGGCUUAUGUAUUUUCAUACACAAACUCAUAGAAUGUUUCAUGUUGCUUUAAAACGCAAUCGAAUACAACUUUCAACAACGGAUCUCUUGGCUCUCGCAUCGAUGAAGAACGCAGCGAAAUGCGAUAAGUAAUGUGAAUUGCAGAUUUUCAGUGAAUCAUCGAAUCUUUGAACGCACCUUGCGCUCCUUGGUAUUCCGAGGAGCAUGCCUGUUUGAGUGUCAUUAAAUUCUCAACCCCACCAGAUUUGAUUCUGGGGGGAUUGGACUUGGAGCGUGCUGGCGAAGGUCGGCUCCUCUUUAAAUGCAUCAGUGGAGAGAAACUUGCCCCGGUGUGAUAAAUUCUGUUGUUGCGCCGUGUGGUGGGUGAAAGUCUGCUUCCAACCGUCCCUUCAGGGGGACAGACUCAUUUUGACCUCAAAUCAGGUAGGACUACCCGCUGAACUUAAGCAUAUCAAUAAGCGGAGGA
This 594-nucleotide ribosomal RNA is filed under the name uncultured Atheliaceae. Its description in RNAcentral is "eukaryotic LSU rRNA". The stretch from base 196 to 350 matches the Rfam family "5.8S ribosomal RNA". Lineage: Eukaryota; Fungi; Basidiomycota; Agaricomycetes; Atheliales; Atheliaceae. The record is from RNAcentral.